RNAcentral lists this ribosomal RNA (441 nucleotides) under uncultured bacterium. Its description in RNAcentral is "bacterial SSU rRNA". It matches the Rfam family "Bacterial small subunit ribosomal RNA", at positions 54 to 509 of the family's 1533-position model. The record is from RNAcentral.
CAUGCAAGUCGAACGAGAGAAGAGAAGCUUGCUUUUCUGAUCUAGUGGCGGACGGGUGAGUAACACGUGAGCAAUCUGCCUUUCAGAGGGGGAUACCGAUUGGAAACGAUCGUUAAUACCGCAUAAUAUAAUUGAACCGCAUGAUUUGAUUAUCAAAGAUUUAUCGCUGAAAGAUGAGCUCGCGUCUGAUUAGCUAGUUGGUAAGGUAACGGCUUACCAAGGCGACGAUCAGUAGCCGGACUGAGAGGUUGAUCGGCCACAUUGGGACUGAGACACGGCCCAGACUCCUACGGGAGGCAGCAGUGGGGAAUAUUGCACAAUGGAGGAAACUCUGAUGCAGCGAUGCCGCGUGAGGGAAGAAGGUUUUAGGAUUGUAAACCUCUGUCUUCAGGGACGAAAAAUGACGGUACCUGAGGAGGAAGCUCCGGCUAACUACGUGCC